This 332-nucleotide ribosomal RNA is filed under the name uncultured bacterium. RNAcentral's name for it is "bacterial SSU rRNA". It matches the Rfam family "Bacterial small subunit ribosomal RNA", at positions 568 to 898 of the family's 1533-position model. The record is from RNAcentral.
CGUGUAGGCGGUCGGCCAAGUCUGAUGUGAAAGCCCGAGGCUCAGCCUUGGAAGUGCGUCGGAAACUAGUCGGCUGGAGCGCGAUAGAGGAGGGUGGAAUUCCUGGUGUAGCGGUGAAAUGCGUAGAUAUCAGGAGGAACACCGGCGGCGAAGGCGGCCCUCUGGAUCGUUGCUGACGCUGAGACGCGAAAGCGUGGGGAGCAAACAGGAUUAGAUACCCUGGUAGUCCACGCUGUAAACGAUGGGUACUAGGUGUUCGGGGUAUUGACCCCCUGAGUGCCGCAGCUAACGCAUUAAGUACCCCGCCUGGGGACUACGGCCGCAAGGUUAAA